CAAUAGCGUAUAUUAAAGUUGUUGCAGUUAAAAAGCUCGUAGUUGGAUUUCUGGCGGGAGUCCGGGUCGGCCUUAACGGGUUGCACUGUUGUGACGUCUCGCCGUUUCGAGGGGAAUGGGCUCGCUAUUAGGUUAGUGUGUUCGGGAACCUCGUCGUUUACUGUGAAAAAUUAGAGUGUUCAAAGCAGGCCUUUGCUGUGAAUACAUUAGCAUGGAAUAAUAAGAUAGGACUGUAGUGCUAUUUUGUUGGUUUGCGUACUAUGGUAAUGAUUAAUAGGGAUAGUUGGGGGUAUUCAUAUUCAAUUGUCAGAGGUGAAAUUCUUGGAUUUAUGGAAGAUGAACUACUGCGAAAGCAUUUACCAAGGAUGUUUUCAUUAAUCAAGAACGAAAGUUAGGGGAUCGAAGACGAUUAGAUACCAU
Molecule: ribosomal RNA, 420 nt
Filed under: uncultured eukaryote
Lineage: Eukaryota
Description: SSU rRNA
Rfam family: Eukaryotic small subunit ribosomal RNA
Source: RNAcentral